Long non-coding RNA from Oxyura jamaicensis (ruddy duck), 2391 nucleotides. RefSeq lists it as uncharacterized. Lineage: Eukaryota; Metazoa; Chordata; Aves; Anseriformes; Anatidae. The transcript is spliced from 3 exons. The record is from RefSeq and is a predicted model, not a curated record.
CAGCUUUCAGACUGGUCAUUAACCAGUUUGGGCUUUUAGCUUUCAGGGAGAACUGGCUUUAUGCGUGUCUAGAAAGCCUAGCAAGGAACUUACCUCCUUGCCACCAAGCUAUGCUGGGACAGAACACGAAAGCCAGCAGAGCUGCAGGUCCCCCAGCAUCAGGAGCACCAGAACCGUCACCUGUCACCUGGCUACAGCUGAGCUUUGCCUUCUGCAGUUACUCGCUGCCGAUAGCAGAACGCCCAGAGGGUGGAAACGUGGCACGUUCUUCCCAUGAAAUACCCUUCAGAUCCAAAAGUGAUCCUUCAAGAUUAGAAGUCAAUGCAGAAAUCCAAAGACUGCUUUUCUAGUUGCUCGAUAAGUUAUUUCUUACUACCUGAGAUCUUAGCUUCUUUCACAUCUCUGAAGCAACAACAUUUAUCAUCUCAUCCAUUUGAAAUCUUUCUAUCUUUGCUGAAGUGCCUUCUAUCCACUGCAGUCAAGGAGGAUUAAACCUAAUUUAUCAGACGCAUCUUGAUAGCAAUAGAAUUCAUUUUGUUCAUGGAUAUGAUCGAAAAGCUUUAACAGCUGCAUUACAAGUAGUUUUAUGUAUUAAAGCUUUGUUGGAGCUUUCAAUGCCUCGUAUAAAACAAGACCAAACAAAGCAGAUUGGUAAUUGAAAUUCGGGUUCUAACUGUGGGUGAUAAAUAAGCAGAUGGAACAUUCAACAUUGCUGGGAAAAAAAGGGGCAAUAUAUGACAAAGUGAGUAAAAACAAAAAUACGCCCACAGCAGCCAAACAAAAUGCGAAGGGCAAACAAGAUAUUUCAUGUCUUCACAUUGCAUGUAAACAAUUUUAAUUUUAGUAACCCCCUUGAAGACUCUGCUAUUUAAAGUGCUGUGACUCUCACAAGCACAGUAUCUGAGCAUCUCCAAAUUUCUUAUUUAUUUUUUAAUCCCACAAGAUGCCAGUGAGGACACUGACACGAGCCGACGCAGAAAGAGCAGCCCUGCAGUGCACCAGCCCCAGUCUGGAGCAGCGCAUCCACGUCUUCCCUGGCAGCGUCAGAACCACAGCCACCGCUGGUAUGCAAUGACCCAACGCUCCCCAGCGGUGGAAUUUGGCCCUGAUCUUUUGCCUGCUACUCUGGAAGCUAUCAGAAAGGCAGUUUCCCAACUGAAGACAAGUCGAACCAAUGCAAAGCUCCAGAAACACACAACAAGUCGACAGGAGGAGCUGCGCUUGGAAACAACUCUGUUUUCUUGCUGCUGUGAGGGUUCUGCCAGGAGGCUGUUUGUCCCUGGGAUGCCCCAUUCAGCUGCUGAUUGCUGUAGGACAGCUCCAAGGCUCCUGCGACACCUCUUCUAGUUCUGCUUACAGCUGCUCCCAAAACACCUGCAACAUUUUAUUCCCAGAUGUUCUUCAGAUUGAGGUUGUUCACACACCGUGCGAGUUGGGUCUUCACCUUGUGCUGUCCAACCAGGGCCCCCCACUGCCUUUCCUUGGAAAGGGAUUGAGAUCUUCUCAUAGACCCUCAGCUUUGAAGCGAGGCUGAUUAAUUUCUAGAGGCUUUAUCCUCUCCACUGCUUUAAGCACUUAAGCCAUACAGUUGAGGGCAGCACACGGCUUUGGACCAGAGAAGAAAAGGGGCUCAUCCUGCCCUUAGGCACAGGAGCGUUCCCACACCUGGGCAAAACCUCUCAGAGCUCCCAGCAGGAGUAAAGCUGCUGAACAAGGACCCCACAGCUGCUGGGAACAGCGGCUCGCAGUGCCCUGGCAGGGCUGCUCACCUGACAGGGCCAGCUUCUCACCACCAUAAAUCAGAACGGUCCUUUUGGAAAGAAAAGAGCUCUGCCAGCUGGAUAUUUGGCAGCAGGUACUCAGGAUGGAAAGCUAAUGCCAUUUACAAACAGCAUUAUUCUGCAAACACUCAGGGAAGUCAUCCUUUGGAGCUGAGAUCUGUGGGGGCUGGAAGAGUCCACGUUCAGUCCUGACUCAGCUUGAGCUUCAGUAGCCAGAGGGGCUUGUGCUGACACCAGGAAGGAAACCACGGCACCUUCAGGUUCACCUCAGCUCCGUUAAAGUCACUGCAUGCAGCACAGCUCAACUCAAACAGCGUUUCAGAUCCACCACCUAGUUUGUGAGGCAGGGUACCUCAGGGCUAGCGAGAGCUGAAAAGGUGUUUUCUUUUUAAAAUCAUCCCCGCAGCACAAAAUAAUCCAACGCAUUUGCUAAGUGCCAGAUGAAUAAAUUGCCUAACCUUUCCACUUUAAUCCAUUGUAAUCACUUUCCAGCACACUCUGAAAAGUGAGCUCCGUGUUUCCAGAGCAGCUGUGCUCCUAAUUAAAAGGCAGUGUAGCAAGGAGAUGGGAAACUUAUUUCUGGUUGGAAAUCCCUUGCUGCAGAGCUGGA